RNAcentral lists this ribosomal RNA (605 nucleotides) under uncultured Streptococcus sp. Its description in RNAcentral is "bacterial SSU rRNA". It matches the Rfam family "Bacterial small subunit ribosomal RNA", at positions 59 to 648 of the family's 1533-position model. Lineage: Bacteria; Bacillati; Bacillota; Bacilli; Lactobacillales; Streptococcaceae. The record is from RNAcentral.
ACGCACAGUUUAUACCGUAGCUUGCUACACCAUAGACUGUGAGUUGCGAACGGGUGAGUAACGCGUAGGUAACCUGCCUAUUAGAGGGGGAUAACUAUUGGAAACGAUAGCUAAUACCGCAUAACAGUAUGUAACACAUGUUAGAUGCUUGAAAGAUGCAAUUGCAUCGCUAGUAGAUGGACCUGCGUUGUAUUAGCUAGUAGGUAGGGUAAAGGCCUACCUAGGCAACGAUACAUAGCCGACCUGAGAGGGUGAUCGGCCACACUGGGACUGAGACACGGCCCAGACUCCUACGGGAGGCAGCAGUAGGGAAUCUUCGGCAAUGGGGGGAACCCUGACCGAGCAACGCCGCGUGAGUGAAGAAGGUUUUCGGAUCGUAAAGCUCUGUUGUUAAGGAAGAACGAGUGUGAGAAUGGAAAGUUCAUGCUGUGACGGUACUUAACCAGAAAGGGACGGCUAACUACGUGCCAGCAGCCGCGGUAAUACGUAGGUCCCGAGCGUUGUCCGGAUUUAUUGGGCGUAAAGCGAGCGCAGCGGUUAGAAAAGUCUGAAGUGAAAGGCAGUGGCUCAACCAUUGUAGCUUUGGAAACUGUUUAACUUGAGUG